AGUCGAUGGGAAACAGGUUAAUAUUCCUGUACUUGGUGUUACUGCGAAGGGGGGACGGAGAAGGCUAGGCUAGCCGGGCGACGGUUGUCCCGGUUUAAGCGUGUAGGGGGUGUGACCUGGUAAAUCCGGUUGCAUACUAACCCUGAGGCGUGAUGACGAUGCACUACGGUGCAGAAGUAGUUGAUGCCCUGCUUCCAGGAAAAUCCUCUAAGCUCCAGGUAACAUUAAAUCGUACCCCAAACCGACACAGGUGGUCAGGUAGAGAAUACCAAGGCGCUUGAGAGAACUCGGGUGAAGGAACUAGGCAAAAUGGUGCCGUAACUUCGGGAGAAGGCACGCUGGCAUGUAGGUGAAGUCCCUUGCGGAUGGAGCUGAAGCCAGUCGAAGAUACCAGCUGGCUGCAACUGUUUAAUAAAAACACAGCACUGUGCAAACACGAAAGUGGACGUAUACGGUGUGACGCCUGCCCGGUGCUGGAAGGUUAAUUGAUGGGGUCAGCCGCAAGGCGAAGCUCUUGAUCGAAGCCCCAGUAAACGGCGGCCGUAACUAUAACGGUCCUAAGGUAGCGAAAUUCCUUGUCGGGUAAGUUCCGACCUGCACGAAUGGCGUAAUGAUGGCCAGGCUGUCUCCACCCGAGACUCAGUGAAAUUGAACUCGCUGUGAAGAUGCAGUGUACCCGCGGCAAGACGGAAAGACCCCGUGAACCUUUACUAUAGCUUGACACUGAACAUUGAGCCUUGAUGUGUAGGAUAGGUGGGAGGCUUUGAAGCGUGGACGCCAGUCUGCGUGGAGCCAUCCUUGAAAUACCACCCUUUAAUGUUUGAUGUUCUAACUCGGCCCCAUAAUCUGGGGUGAGGACAGUGUCUGGUGGGUAGUUUGACUGGGGCGGUCUCCUCCCAAAGAGUAACGGAGGAGCACGAAGGUUAGCUAAUCACGGUCGGACAUCGUGAGGUUAGUGCAAAGGCAUAAGCUAGCUUGACUGCGAGAGUGACGGCUCGAGCAGGUACGAAAGUAGGUCUUAGUGAUCCGGUGGUUCUGAAUGGAAGGGCCAUCGCUCAACGGAUAAAAGGUACUCCGGGGAUAACAGGCUGAUACCGCCCAAGAGUUCAUAUCGACGGCGGUGUUUGGCACCUCGAUGUCGGCUCAUCACAUCCUGGGGCUGAAGUAGGUCCCAAGGGUAUGGCUGUUCGCCAUUUAAAGUGGUACGCGAGCUGGGUUUAGAACGUCGUGAGACAGUUCGGUCCCUAUCUGCCGUGGGCGUUGGAAGAUUGAGAGGGGUUGCUCCUAGUACGAGAGGACCGGAGUGAACGCACCACUGGUGUUCGGGUUGUCAUGCCAAUGGCAUUGCCCGGUAGCUAAGUGCGGAAAAGAUAAGCGCUGAAAGCAUCUAAGCGCGAAACUUGCCUCAA
RNAcentral lists this ribosomal RNA (1409 nucleotides) under Serratia marcescens. RNAcentral's name for it is "partial 23S ribosomal RNA". It matches the Rfam family "Bacterial large subunit ribosomal RNA", at positions 1413 to 2802 of the family's 2925-position model. The record is from RNAcentral. Lineage: Bacteria; Pseudomonadati; Pseudomonadota; Gammaproteobacteria; Enterobacterales; Yersiniaceae.